Molecule: ribosomal RNA, 253 nt
Filed under: uncultured bacterium
Lineage: Bacteria
Description: partial 16S ribosomal RNA
Rfam family: Bacterial small subunit ribosomal RNA
Source: RNAcentral
UACGGAGUGUGCAAGCUUUAAUCGGAAUUACUGGGCGUAAAGCGCACGCAGGUGGCUAAGUCAGUCGAUUGUGAAAGCCCUGGGCUUAACCUGGGAACUGCAUUUGUGACUGCAUGGCUGGAGUGCGGCAGAGGGGGAUGGAAUUCCGCGUGUAGCAGUGAAAUGCGUAGAUAUGCGGAGGAACACCGAUGGCGAAGGCAAUCCCCUGGGCCUGCACUGACGCUCAUGCACGAAAGCGUGGGGAGCAAACAGG